RNAcentral lists this long non-coding RNA (127 nucleotides) under Ictidomys tridecemlineatus (thirteen-lined ground squirrel). Its description in RNAcentral is "lncRNA (ENSSTOG00000029467.1)". The record is from RNAcentral. Lineage: Eukaryota; Metazoa; Chordata; Mammalia; Rodentia; Sciuridae.
AGCUUGAAGACAUUCUGUAGCAGUGAUACGAAGGUGAGAGUGUCUGAAUUACCAGCGGGCCUUCAGGCAUCCUUAAGAUAAAAUGAUGUAUUUCAGUUUCAGUGUGAAUUUAUCUGACCCAUAGAAG